This 307-nucleotide ribosomal RNA is filed under the name Anaerolineales bacterium. Its description in RNAcentral is "partial 23S ribosomal RNA". It matches the Rfam family "Bacterial large subunit ribosomal RNA", at positions 2619 to 2925 of the family's 2925-position model. The record is from RNAcentral. Lineage: Bacteria; Bacillati; Chloroflexota; Anaerolineae; Anaerolineales.
UCGGGAGACAGGUCGGUCUCUAUCCACUGUGGGCGCAGGGGACUUGAGGAAGCCUGUCCUUAGUACGAGAGGACCGGGAUGGACGGACCUCUGGUGUGUCGGUUGUCGCGCCAGCGGCAUGGCCGAGUAGCUACGUCCGGUUGAGAUAACCGCUGAAUGCAUCUAAGUGGGAAACUCGUUCCAAGAUUAAGUCCCCCAUGGCAUAAGCCAGUAAGACCGCAGGUAGACGACCUGCUAUAUAGGCGUCCGCGUGUAAGCGCAGUAAUGCGUGUGCGUAGGCGUCCUAAUCGGUCGAGGGCUUAGUCCA